GUUAAGAUGGCAGAGACCGGUAAU
Molecule: transfer RNA, 24 nt
Filed under: Macroscelides micus (Etendaka round-eared sengi)
Lineage: Eukaryota; Metazoa; Chordata; Mammalia; Macroscelidea; Macroscelididae
Description: partial tRNA-Leu
Source: RNAcentral